This 406-nucleotide ribosomal RNA is filed under the name uncultured bacterium. RNAcentral describes it as "partial 16S ribosomal RNA". It matches the Rfam family "Bacterial small subunit ribosomal RNA", at positions 29 to 526 of the family's 1533-position model. The record is from RNAcentral.
AUUGAACGCUGGCGGCAGGCCUAACACAUGCAAGUCGAACGAGUGGCGGACGGGUGAGUAAUGUCUGGGAAACUGCCUGAUGGAGGGGGAUAACUACUGGAAACGGUAGCUAAAACCGCAUACCAUCGGAUGUGCCCAGAUGGGAUUAGCUAGUAGGUGGGGUAAAGGCUCACCUAGGCGACGAUCCCUAGCUGGGCUGAGGGGAUGACCAGCCCAACGGGAACGGGGCCACGGCCCGGAUUCCUCCGGGAGGAAGCAGUGGGGAACAUUGCACAAUGGGCGCAAGCCGGCUGCAGCCAUGCCGCGGGUAUGAAGAAGGCCUUCGGGUGUUAAAGUACUUUCAGCGGGGAGGCGUUACCCGCAGAAGAAGCACCGGCUAACUCCGUGCCAGCAGCCGCGGUAAUAC